UUAAAACUCAAAGGACUUGGCGGUGCUUUAUACCCCCUAGAGGAGCCUGUUCUGUAAUCGAUAAACCCCGAUCAACCUCACCAAUCUUUGCUAAUUCAGCCUUUAUACCGCCAUCUUCAGCAAACCCUAAAAAGGAAAAAAAGUAAGCACAAUAAUCCAAAGCAUAAAAAAGUUAGGUCAAGGUGCAGCCAAUAGAUUGGGAUGAAAUGGGCUACAUUCUUUUUAAAAAAGCAUACGGAUAUUUUUAUGAAACUAAAAAUUGAAGGAGGAUUUAGCAGUAAAUUAAGAGUAGAGUGCUUAAUUGAAGUUGGCAAUGAAGCCAUGCACAA
Molecule: ribosomal RNA, 329 nt
Filed under: Atelerix algirus (Algerian hedgehog)
Lineage: Eukaryota; Metazoa; Chordata; Mammalia; Eulipotyphla; Erinaceidae
Description: partial 12S ribosomal RNA
Rfam family: Bacterial small subunit ribosomal RNA
Source: RNAcentral